Triticum aestivum (bread wheat) is the source of this 4512-nucleotide long non-coding RNA. RefSeq lists it as uncharacterized. The transcript is spliced from 4 exons. Lineage: Eukaryota; Viridiplantae; Streptophyta; Magnoliopsida; Poales; Poaceae. The record is from RefSeq and is a predicted model, not a curated record.
GGUUGUGUACGUGGGGUGGGUAAAACCUAGCCGCCACUCAUCUCCCUCCCCCGAUCCCCCUCCCCUUCCUUGACGCCGCCAGCUCCGCCCACUUCUUUGUGCGCCGAACCUCUCCUGCCCUCCCAUUCUCCAUCGCCUGGGGGCCAUUGGGACAUCGCUAUUCCCCACUGCGGGCUUGGAGCCUCGGUGGCAGCGACAAGCAGGAGCUCGGCGGCACUUGGAGGAGGUCGACAUGUUGCAGUUGCCUCUUCGCCACUGCCACGACGCCUCCUCGCUGACCACGCAUCUGCCACCAGUGGAUGGAUUGAGAGUGCCCGCGGGAUGAAGCGAAGAUUUUUGUGGCUGGGAGUUCUUGCCGUAGGAAAAACGAAGCAUGAACUUGAAGGAGCUCAAGAUUUUUCUACUACUUUGCUAAUAGAUUUGUGAGCACAUGCAGAGCAGCCAAGAUGAAACCUUCCGUUCUCAUCAGCUUCUGCAACUGAAAAUUCACCUUCUAGGCAGUCUAAUUAUUCCAAAGCAGCGGUUGUCAAUGGACUUGGCAUGCCUGGUUUUGCUUCGCGACGAGUUGCAUUCUGAAAGUGACUAGGGAGGGAGGGAGGGAGAGGGAGAGAGAUUGUUAGAGGUUGAUUCGCACACCAUCAAUCCGAUUUUUCUAUAAUUAUUUUAUGUACAUCUACUUUAUUUCUUCUUUGCUUUAGGGAACAUAGGAGGUAUUAGCCAUGUGCGUGUUAAUUGCUGUUACAAACAUGGCAAUGGAAUUCUGUAAGGUUAAAUUUGUUUCCCAAGGUGGUGUUGAUGUUUGUGCUUCUUUUUCUAUUGGUGCGAAAAAUGAUUCCUUGGGCGAUUCGAUGGAGCCACUUGUGAUCUUGUCGACCGCUACACCCGCUGGCAUCAAGAUGAGGUCAUGGUGUGGGCUUUGCGGUUUCGAGGGCGUGAAAUGGCGUGGAAUACAGAAAUGUCAGUAGCCUGUAUCCUUGAGUAAUGCUUGCUAAAGAAAAAUCUAACUGGGAUGAAAAGCCAAAAAUUUGGGGCACAAUGGGAGAUGCUAGAGGAUGAUAAGAAAGACGAGGAGAAAUCUCAGGUGUAGUUCUUUCAGAACUUUUGUUCUUUUCUUAGAGCUCCUGAGAACUAUUUGCAGACAGUGUUGUGAUAUUCCCAUAAUUGUGUGACAAUAUUGUUCCGACAGUGAAAUACCAAUAUAAAUGUCGUGCUCUAUUUGCUGGGAUAUUCUGUUAUUGUUCAUAGUAUAUUCAAGGUUAGUUUUAUGACUUUGUCAUCAUCCUAUCAUUUAUGGGUAUUUUCUUUAUGACCUCCACUGGAAUGAGUAACUUGUGGCAUUUUCCAUGCUUUUCUUCUAUAUAGUGGGAGGUUUCACCAAAGCUAACUGGUUCCAUGGAGGUUUCAUUACAGCUGAUUUUGUUUAAUUCUCCUAGAACCAUUACUAUUUUCUUAAAGAAAAGACCUAACAACAACUACUUUAAAUUGGAAAAGUUCUACGAGAAGACAUAUUCAGUUUACUAUACCACAUAACGCGAACUUUUCUGCAAUCCGCAAAGGAAUUAUUCUACCAAGGGUCAUCUUGUGUUUAGCUGAUAAUGGAAAAUUACUUGGGAUAUGAAAUGGAAGCCUCCUCUACCAAAUUCAUCAGAAUAAAAACCACGUUUGUGUUUUCUUGCAAUACUGUUGGGAAAUGGCUCACUGGUAGUGUGUGCAUCCUAUUCUAAAUCAUCAUUUUGCAUUGUUUUGCCAUCACAUUUUUAAUAUCACUGUUUAUGUACUCGUUCAUUAUUGUGGAUGGAUGCGAAGUUCCAUCUCCAUGCAGGAUCUAGAAAAUAUAUUCCUCUUCUUUAACGAAGGGUACCGACCGUUGCUUUCUAAAGCUGCAACCUGUAUUUAGAUAUGCUAAUGUGAAUCGCAGGAACAUGCAGAUGUAUUCAACUUUUAGUUUCAUUGUUGUGCUAUUAAAACUAGGCGACAUAUUUAAAUUUUCUGUUAAAUUUGUCAACAUGAGUUUUUCACUUUGAAUCCAUUUCCUCUUUGUAAUGUAACAAAACAUUCCCUUGAUAGUUGAUUGGUUGUAUUCUCCUCAUGAUAUGAUAUGGCGGGAAUGGAUGUCAUGAUAGAAUGUCAUCUUUUCUUCAUGUAGUAACUUACUUUUAGAUUCGAUAACUGCACUGUUUGGUUCGAAGGUGUUGUACAGAGAAUUUUAUGGUUGUAUUUUGAUAUUCCAUGUUGCUUUAUGGAAGUUAUCUACAUGCUUGCAAUCACAAGGUAUUUUAAUGGUAUGUUGCUUUAUGGUUGUAUUUUAUUGGUGUGCUUUUUGGCCCAUGUGUGGCUUGAUCUACCCUGUGUGGCCUGAUCUACUUUCCUGUCUGCUCUGCGUACGUUUGUCUGGAAUAGCUGAAGGAUGUUCAAGUUUGAGCAUGAUGCCGUGCUCUCACACACGUGAUGGAUGUUUAUGUUUCUCCGUGGACAUGCAUCCAAUCUGUUCUGUGCAUGUUUGCAAGUUAAGGCAAUGUUAUAUCAGUCAUAGAAUUGUGUGAAGCAACUGUCGAUGCAAUCCCCCUAUUUAGGUCCUGGACUAAUCGACUCUUAUGCAUUGUAAGUAUUGCUACUGGCCCUUUCUUCCUUCUUGACCUCCUUAUGACAAUUUUCACCUGUAAAUUCUGUUGGGCCAUGCUACUUAAUCUAACUCUUGUCAUGCUCCGAUGCUCGUACCGCUGUGUAUCUACCAUUGUGUCCUGUAUUGGUUGUCUACACAUUAGAUUCGGUAAUCUAUAAGACCUUUCACAUCACAAUCGGUGUCUAUCUAGUAUAUGAAACGUGGUUGUUCGCUAUUUGUUAUUUUCCUAGACAAACAUUCUGAUGCUUCCUGUGCAGAUGCAUUGGCUUAAAUUGACAUUGUGCAUGAACUACAUGCCUUUUCCGGACAUCUGUUUCUUGCAUACACCAAAUGGGACCGAGUUUGGUGUUCCUGUUAUUUGAAUUUCAGGGGUCCACACUUGAGAGUUUAUUUUAAUAUUUACUACAGAGGGAAUAAGUUAGUAUUAAAAAUGCCUAUUUGAAUCUUGAUAUAUUCAGACAAUUUCCAAUUGAAAAGCAAAUAAGUGAGAGAGGAUGUAUUGAUUGUUUAGUACUAAACUUAAUUGAAUUUCAAUAGUAAUUAACUUGAGAGUUUUUUUGGAUAUUUAGUGCUGAGGGAAUAAAAUGACUUCCAUAAAAUGCCUAUUUGCAUUUUGAUUCCAUCUUAAAAAAUUAUUUCUAUUUUGAUAUAUUCAGCCAAUUUUCAAUUCAAAACAAAACAGGCGAGAAAGGAUAAUAUGGGAGCUUCAACUUAAAAUAGUUGGGAAAUGAAUUGAAUAUUUGUUUAAAUAAAAUCUACACAGAAAUCAAAUUAGGAAGCUAUUGUUACUGGCAAAAUGACUUUAUAGAAUAUAUAGGAUUUUGCAAGGCUUUCAUUUGAGGCUGGAAAUACUUUCACUAAGCGCUAUAUGAGUAUUUUGAUUUAUUCACUUGUGGCAGAUCUCUCCUUCGACCUCUUUCUCUUUUGCCUGGCUAUUCUUUCCUCUCAAUGAAUCUGUUUUCUUCUCAACGAAGCUGACCACGACCUCCUGCACGUACUGCACCCCAUUGAUAAACACAUCAUUUCUAAUAUGCACUUGCUUAAUAACUUGUGCUUAACCUUUAGAUUUGUGUAUCUUUUCAUAGUGAUCCCCAUUGAGCUGGUUGAAGUCUUCAACAAGUUUCUGGGUGAGUCAAUGUUUGAAAAGCUUGACCUCCCUAAACCAGUCUACUUCACACGUAGGCUUGAGCGGGGUGGAUGUGUAUCAGUAGUUGAGUUGUACCCAACAAAAGAGGAUCUUCGCGUUUCAUCUGGACGAGCUGUGUUGUCAAGCCCAAUAUGUAAGGCCAUCGGGUUCAUGGAACGCAGAUAUCAUAAGGUGCUUGUUGAUUACAACCAUGAGCACCUGCAGGAAGAACAAAAGGCAAAUGUAAAGAUCACAAACAAGGUGAUAGAAAAAGGAGAAGAGAUUAAACGGUACAAAAAGAGCAUCAAAUAGAUGACUAGGGAAGGGACACACUAUCUAGAUGAUGUUCUUGUUACAUCAAACAAAAUCCAUGAUCUUGCUGGAGCUACCUUGGACCUUGCUGCUUCAAUGACUGUCUGUAAUCUCAGACAAACUCUUCUGGAUAUUCAUGAUGCUAAGUAUCACUAGCGCGGCAUGUCUCUCACUACAGAAGAAAGGCAUAUAUAUUAUCCAUAUGAUCCAGACUCAGAUUCAAGCUGUGGUGAGGGUUAUGCUGAUGACAUGGGUGAUGGCUACAACAACUUACGUGUGAUCACUUGUAGGCACCGUCUUGCCCUUAGGCAGCCUGUUAUGCUUUAGCUCCGCCUACUCUACUAAGUGUUGCUAUGAAUACUUUGCGUUGUACUGACUUCGAUGAAAUUUUGUGUCCUUGUGUUACGUGCAGUUGCUUAGUUAACUUUCUAUAUCAACUAUGUUAUUUGUA